Molecule: ribosomal RNA, 804 nt
Filed under: Occidozyga cf. laevis KU 306729
Lineage: Eukaryota; Metazoa; Chordata; Amphibia; Anura; Dicroglossidae
Description: partial large subunit ribosomal RNA
Rfam family: Bacterial large subunit ribosomal RNA
Source: RNAcentral
ACCGCUUACUACUGCCAACCCAUUAACAGUAUUGAAUAAUUUCAUAAAUUAUGAAAACUACCAUGCUAGAACUAGUAACAAGAAAAUGAAUUUCUCCAAAGUGUAAACAUAAACCAAAACGGACAACCCAUUGGUAAUUAACGACUCUGAACCCAUUAUAGCAAAACAUCUAGAAAACCCUAUACUUAAUACCGUUAACCUUACACAAGAACUCUUCUGGAAAGAUUAAAAGGAAGAGAAGGAACUCGGCAAAUUUUAACCCCGCCUGUUUACCAAAAACAUCGCCUCUUGCUUAGUUAUAAGAGGUCCCGCCUGCCCAGUGUUUCAAUCAACGGCCGCGUGAUCUAAACGCGCGAAGGUAGCAUAAUAAUUUGUUCUUUAAAUGAGGACUUGUAUCAAUGGCAUCACGAGGGUUAUACUGUCUCCUCUCCCCAAUCAGUGAAACUAAUCUCCCUGUGAAAAAGCAGGAAUAAGAACAUAAGACGAGAAGACCCCAUGGAGCUUAAAACAAGGCAGCAAUUCAAUAACAAAAUCAGAACAAUCUUAAGCCCUGUAUGCCAGUUUUAGGUUGGGGUGACCACGGAGCAAAGCAAAGCCUCCACAACGAGAAGGGAUUAUCCCCUUACCCAAGAGACACGCCUCUAAGAAUUAUUAAAAUAACGUCUAAUGAUCCGAUUAUCGACCAAUGGACCAAGUUACCCUGGGGAUAACAGCGCAAUCCACUCUGAGAGCUCCUAUCGACGAGUGGGCUUACGACCUCGAUGUUGGAUCAGGAUAUCCCAGUGGUGCAGCCGCUACUAAAGG